ACGCACGCUGGCGGCGCGCCUAACCCAUGCAAGUCGAACGGAGCUGAGAGAAGCUUGCUUUUCUUAGCUUAGUGGCGAACGGGUGAGUAACGCGUGAGUAACCUGCCCUGGAGUGGGGGACAACAGUUGGAAACGACUGCUAAUACCGCAUAAGCCCACGAUCCGGCAUCGGAUUGAGGGAAAAGGAUUUAUUCGCUUCAGGAUGGACUCGCGUCCAAUUAGCUAGUUGGUGAGGUAACGGCCCACCAAGGCGACGAUUGGUAGCCGGACUGAGAGGUUGAACGGCCACAUUGGGACUGAGACACGGCCCAGACUCCUACGGGAGGCAGCAGUGGGGGAUAUUGCACAAUGGGGGAAACCCUGAUGCAGCGACGCCGCGUGGAGGAAGAAGGUUUUCGGAUUGUAAACUCCUGUCGUGAGGGACGAUAAUGACGGUACCUAACAAGAAAGCACCGGCUAACUACGUG
This 467-nucleotide ribosomal RNA is filed under the name uncultured bacterium. RNAcentral's name for it is "partial 16S ribosomal RNA". It matches the Rfam family "Bacterial small subunit ribosomal RNA", at positions 29 to 507 of the family's 1533-position model. The record is from RNAcentral.